UAGAGUUUGACUCCUGGCUCAGGACGAACGCUGGCGGCGUGCUUAACACAUGCAAGUCGAACGGAAAGGCUCCAGCUUGCUGGAGUACUCGAGUGGCGAACGGGUGAGUAACACGUGGGUAAUCUGCCCUGCACUCUGGGAUAAGCCUGGGAAACUGGGUCUAAUACUGGAUAUGACCUUUCUCCUUAUGGGGUUUGGUGGAAAGUUUUUCGGUGUAGGAUGAGCCCGCGGCCUAUCAGCUUGUUGGUGGGGUGAUGGCCUACCAAGGCGACGACGGGUAGCCGGCCUGAGAGGGUGAUCGGCCACAUUGGGACUGGGAUACGGCCCAGACUCCUACGGGAGGCAGCAGUGGGGAAUAUUGCACAAUGGGCGGAAGCCUGAUGCAGCGACGCCGCGUGAGGGAUGACGGCCUUCGGGUUGUAAACCUCUUUCAGCAGGGACGAAGCGUAAGUGACGGUACCUGCAGAAGAAGCACCGGCUAACUAUGUG
Molecule: ribosomal RNA, 489 nt
Filed under: uncultured Actinomycetales bacterium
Lineage: Bacteria; Bacillati; Actinomycetota; Actinomycetes; Actinomycetales
Description: bacterial SSU rRNA
Rfam family: Bacterial small subunit ribosomal RNA
Source: RNAcentral